GAGAGUUUAUUGUCUCCAAGAGGGUGAAGGUCGUGGUCCCAAUGCACAGGUGGGGGCACCCACAGUGUUAUCCUUCCUGGGUUUCCCUUGGGCAGAGGGGGCUGGAAAUGGGAAGGCAGAGUGGGAGCCCCAGCUGUGGCCGCACCCAGGUUCUUCUGCCCCUCGAAGGGUCCUGGACAGCAUUCAGGGCAAGGGGCCUCAUGCAAGGGGCCAUCGCCCACCAGAGACACUGUCUUUCCCACCACCAACACCAGAGGCACCGUCCUUCCCCAUCACCCAACACCGGAGGCACCAUCCUUCCCCAUUGCCCAUCAGAGGCACCAUCCUUCCCAUCACCCACACUGGAGGCACCAUUCUUCCCGUCACCCACACCGGAGGUACCGUCCUUCCCAUCACCCACACCGGAGGCACCGUCCUUCUCAUCACCCACACCAGAGGCACCGUCCUUCCCAUCACCCACACCAGAGGCACCGUCCUUCCCAUCACCCACAUCAGAGGCAC
RNAcentral lists this long non-coding RNA (501 nucleotides) under Homo sapiens (human). Its description in RNAcentral is "non-protein coding lnc-LY6H-1:2". The record is from RNAcentral. Lineage: Eukaryota; Metazoa; Chordata; Mammalia; Primates; Hominidae.